CCUACGGGAGGCAGCAGUGGGGAAUAUUGCACAAUGGGGGAAACCCUGAUGCAGCGACGCCGCGUGAGUGAAGAAGUAUUUCGGUAUGUAAAGCUCUAUCAGCAGGGAAGACAUAGCGACCAUUGGGUCGCCAGACGGUACCUGAUUAAGCAGCACCGGCUAACUACGUGCCAGCAGCCGCGGUAAUACGGAGGGGGCAAGCGUGAUCCGGAUUUACUGGGGGUAAAGGGAGCGUAGACGGCAGCGCAAGUCUGAAGUGAAAUGCCGGGGCUUAACCCCGGAACUGCGUUGGAAACUGUGCAGCUAGAGUGCAGGAGAGGUAAGUGGAAUUCCUAGUGUAGCGGUGAAAUGCGUAGAUAUUAGGAGGAACACCAGUGGCGAAGGCGGCUUACUGGACUGUAACUGACGUUGAGGCUCGAAAGCGUGGGGAGCAAACAGGAUUAGAUACCCCAGUAGUC
Molecule: ribosomal RNA, 458 nt
Filed under: uncultured bacterium
Lineage: Bacteria
Description: partial 16S ribosomal RNA
Rfam family: Bacterial small subunit ribosomal RNA
Source: RNAcentral